Phyllopteryx taeniolatus (common seadragon) is the source of this 2564-nucleotide long non-coding RNA. RefSeq lists it as uncharacterized. The record is from RefSeq and is a predicted model, not a curated record. NCBI's taxonomy places the organism in Eukaryota, Metazoa, Chordata, Actinopteri, Syngnathiformes, Syngnathidae. The transcript has 4 exons.
CCUUGAUAAACUGAGAGCCAGGGGUUUUCGGGGGCUUUUUCGUCGUUCUGGCAAUGUAAGCAGCUGUUAUGACACCAACGCUUGUUUAAUAAAUCGAAUAAGCCCAAAUUAGUCCUCAUUCAUCCCAUGCCCGACGGACGUCGGAGUUCUUCCGGGUGACCUCCGACUCGGAACCACAGGCGAAAAAAUCCGCCACACUACUUUUAAUUGAAUCACUUUCAUCCGACUCUACAACGCUUUGUUUGUGGUCAGUAUUUUGGUUUUUUUUUCUAUAUGAACAAAUUAUUACCGUAUCGGGGCUUUCUCCAAUGAAAAGUGGGCGGGGGAAAAGGGAGUUUACUGGCUCGACGACGUUUCUGAACUCGCUCGAACUGACCUUGAGAAGUGCAAGAAUGCAAACAACAAAGGAAACGAAGUUGCUCAAGGCAAAGGUUGUGCCCAUGAGGCCACAAAUAAGGGCCAAAACUUGGAUUAUGAGACCGGCUGGCACUGUGGAGAUGGAUGGCAGCCAUCUAAAUACAGCAGUCGCCAUUUCAGAUGGGAAAAUACAUUAUAAAAUGAUCAUGUUUGGAGGGCUGGCCUCAACCUUGAAGAGGGAAGAAGUUAUUUCUUCACCAAUUACGAUGUUGGGUCUGAAAGCCAAACUGCUGCUGACCAGGCCGAACACGAAAGUGAAUACAGGGCCAAAUGUUACUGUCUCAGCAGAGCUGGAGAAGGGAGGAAGGGAUGUACUUUUUUCUUGGUCUAUCUCCUCAUCUGUUCCCGAUGUGGUUGGCAAAAUGCCCGAUUCAUUGGUGACAUUGAAGGGACAUUUAACCGAUAUGCAAUGAUGAUCCUGAUAUGUCUAUCCCAAGCUAGUCUCCACCCCUCACCCCUGCCGCAGCGCAUAUUUGGAGUGACUUGUGGUCGACUCGGAUUCUGAAAAUCCUUAAGACAUCUCCUCAGGGAUGAGCGGGAGUAGCCCCUGUCACGGAGUGCCGUAAAGAGGACCCUCACCGCUGAUGAAAGUCCCCAUCCUGUGUACAGAUGUGUUUAAACCGCAAUAAUUGCGAUUUGAUUACCCCUGUAAAUGUGUGUUUUGGAUGAAAGCUAUCUCUAUGUAAUAGUGCAUGUGUGUCCGUUUGUUUCAAAAAAACUUUGAUGUCCAACUUUUUUUGUUCCUUAAAUCCUGGUCCUUUGGAAGUGGUUGUGUCCAAAAAAAAUCUAUUUUCUGUUUGUCAAAUAUGAAUUUUAUUCCAAUAGACGGCAUGUUAAAAAAAGUCUCCAAUUCCUUUUGUGGGCCAUUCCAUAUUCCCCAAAUGUCAUCCAGAUAUCUGAGGAAUUGAAGAAGUUUCUGUGGGCAUUUUGGGAGGACUCUCUCUUCCCAAACAGCCAUAAAUAUGUUGGCAUAGUCUGGUGCGAAUUUCUUGCCCGUGGUUGUGCCCUUGGUUUGCAGGUAGUCAUGGCCGUCGAAUUCAAAGUCGGUUCUUGUUAAAUUUAUUUCCAGUAGUUGUAGUAGUUCUUUGUCCGGUCGUCUGGAUGCCUUUUUGAAAAAUGUUUUUUUACGGCAUCGAAUCUUGAGCAUGUGUAGAGACUGUUUAUGUGGAUAGUCAAAAUGUAGCAUCAUGGGGAACUUCCAUUGUUUUAAUCUUUUCAAUAAAGUGAUAUGUAUCCUUUAUAUAAGACAUGUUUGGUGGAGAGUGGAUUCAGGUAGCAGUCCAAGAAUUCUGGCGUGUAGUACGUCUCACUACUAUAGUCGGACACGAUUGGUCUGCCAGGGGGGACGCUAAAAGGGACAGUCCAGUGUUGUGGGUCUUUGUGAAUUUUGGGAAGAAUGUAGAAUCUCCUGGUCCCCGGUUCUGUGUCUCCUUUUAGGUAUUUCUUUUGUUGUGCAUUAAUAAAUUUCUUUUCAUAGAGUUUUUGUAAAAUCUUCUUGACCAUUGGAAUUGUUUGGGGAAAGAUUGGUCUUUCCAAUUUUCGGUAAUAGUUGGUGUCAUUCAAUUGUUUGUAGGCUUCUGUUGUGUAUUGUUUUGGGCUGAGGACCACUACCGCACUUCCUUUGUCUGCUGGUUUUAUUACAAUUUGGUUGUUUUGGCGUAGUUCCCGGAGUGCCGAGAUUUCUUGUUGUGUUAGGUUCUUUUUUUUCUUGUUUGGUUCGGAAAAAUCUGAGGAAGUGUCUUCUGUCUUGUUCGAACAGGUCUUUUAUGGAGUCUGAUAAGGAACUGAUGGCUGGAGUCCAUGUUGAUGGAGGUUUAAAGGGUAGUGUUGUUUUUUAUUUGUCCCUUUAAAAUGGGAGGCCAACAUCAAUCUUCUGUGGUAAUUUUGGAUAUCAUAUUCUGUUUGUUUCGGGGGUUUAAGGUUGGAAUGAAGUUAAGCCCAUUGUCUAAAAGACUCAAUUGAGCUGUAGACAAAGUCGCAUCUUUUGCCAGUACGAUCACAUUCCGAACAGUUGUAGGUUUGAUCCCUUCUGUCCUGGGAGUAAGGGGACUCACAAGUUUAAGUAUGUGGUCGAGUAGAGCUGCUGCUGUGGACUUCGACCAAUGUAUUCCAUCUUUCUCCGUGGAGAAGUCCAAAUAGUGAAUUUU